GAUGAAGAACGUAGCGAAAUGCGAUAAGUAAUGUGAAUUGCAGAAUUCAGUGAAUCAUCGAAUCUUUGAACGCACCUUGCACCCUUUGGCAUUCCGAAGGGUAUGCUCGUUUGAGUGUCAUUGUACUCUCACACUCUCCGAUCCUAUGGAUUCGGGGAGCGGUGGACUUGGGUGUUGCUGCCUUUCCCUGUGGCUCACCUCAAAUGCGUCAGUGCACCUCUUGGUUGGACAUAGUACGGCGUGAUAAGUGUCUUCGCCGGCACCUCAGUAGAGGGUGGCUGAUCGGGAGCUCUGCUUCAAACCGUCCUCGGACAACAACUGACAACUUGACCUCAAAUCGAGUAGGACUACCCGCUGAACUUAAGCAUAUCAAUAAGCGGAGGA
This 384-nucleotide unclassified non-coding RNA is filed under the name soil metagenome. Its description in RNAcentral is "partial contains 5.8S ribosomal RNA, internal transcribed spacer 2, and large subunit ribosomal RNA". The stretch from base 1 to 120 matches the Rfam family "5.8S ribosomal RNA", at positions 35 to 154 of the family's 154-position model. The record is from RNAcentral.